Equus caballus (horse) is the source of this 1749-nucleotide long non-coding RNA. NCBI's taxonomy places the organism in Eukaryota, Metazoa, Chordata, Mammalia, Perissodactyla, Equidae. The record is from Ensembl.
GGGAAGACAUUAAAACAGAAGCAGAAUCUGAGCUCACUUCAACGGACAUUAGUUGUGCCAUUUGGUGUCUGCAGGGCACUGGGCUAGGUGUCAGAGGACAGAGGUGAGGAAGAAGUCGUCCCGCCCUGAAGGAUCUCAGUCUAGUCAGAGACAAGCUGUAAAUGGAUUAGUUCAAUAUGCUGUGGUGAUGAUAGUGAAGCUUGCUCUGGAGGAUGCUGUGAGGUCCGCUCUGGAGAUAGUUGCAAAGGGCCGUGGAUUGUUGUGCUCCUGGUGGACGGCACCAUUCCUGAGAUGGCUCUCCAUCCAUUUUUCCUGCUUGGCUGUUUUCUGGAAAGUGGAGAAAAAUGAUGGAGCUCUGCCCCAAGGAUCUCCUCUCACCACGAAUGCUAACAGAGCAGACACUCUGAACCGGCGGAGACGACUCAGCAUUUCCGAGGGUUUGACCCAAAACCAAGAAGAAAAUAUUUCAGAAACAGUUCCUGUAGAAUCUCACACAAAUGUGUAUGUGUGAGGGGCUUGGCUCCAGUGGGAUAAGCAGAUGCAUAGCUCCUAGGCAAGUACUCCUGGAUCUGGCUACCUUAUGGGACAUCUGAGAUUAGUUCUUAGAGCCUCCGACUAUACAGUGCAAAGAUCUUGAAAAAUUCCAUUCCUUCACUUGACAGAAUGAGAUGCCCCAGAACUGAGGGUGUUGUGUAAAGGCAGAAAAAUAUGGGGACAGCGGGCAAAAAGGGGGUGAGGAGUGAGAAUGACAAGAAGACAGCAGAAUCCACUCAAUGAGAGGUCUGAUUUCCAUUUCACACUGUGGGCAAGAUCAAUUUGAUUUGCCAGGAGAGAUCUUGGGUUGUGUGUGUUGCUAAUGCAGAGGGGGUGAGUGGCUAUAUGGAUGCACUUUCUGUGGCUUGUAAUUCUAUAGAGUCUAGGAUGCCUCUAAGUUUCAAUCCUCUUCUUUCCCUUGGAAUGCCUUGUCAGCUGCUGUCUGCUGGCCACUUGAGCAUGGUGAUCUGUCACCUCUACUCUUGAUUCCUUUUACGAAGGAAUUGCAUUCCCACACUCCCAGUAAAGCAUUGGGGUUCUCCUCUACCUUCACUCACUCAAUGAAAUUUUUGCUGUUGUUGUUGCAGGUAUUCUGUAUUCUAAGCACUGUGCUAGACACCAGGAAUACAGUGGAACUUGACGUUAAUCAAGUUGUCCUGAAGCAAUGUAAAUUCUAUGAAGAGGAUUCAGUGCCCUGGAGCCACUAUGGAUCAUAUUUCUCACUGCACAGAGACAGUCUGCCUGAGAAUUGGUCCACCACAGUGAGAAGCAGAGCCGAGGGAUGGAGAAGGAAGAGCUACACCAUGAUGGGACCACUGGGCUCCACCAGCAACUAAAACCAGGUCGUACUACUCCUGUAUUUUUCACUUAGAUGAACCAACAAAUCAAUUUCUUUGUCUUCCCUCCUGCCUCCCUGUCUUUUUUUCUCUUUUUUCCUUUUUUGUUAAAUUGGUUUGAAUUGAGAUGCUGACUGGUAGAGAGUCCUUACUAUACCUUCAUGAUCGUUAUUAUCACCUUAGAAAAUGCUAUGAACUUAAAAAAAAUUCCUGUAUGUUUGUAUAUCUUUGAAAUUUGUAUACACACAUUUGUGCUUGAUGAUUAGGAUGAACAUUCUUUUUCUCAUUUGUGAAUCAUGUAUUCAUGUUUUGGUCCACUUAUUUAUUAAGUUUUUAGUUUUAAAAGCAUUUGCAUAAGUUUAUUUCAUGCUGAAGAUAU